GGAGAGUGGGCAGGACGGUAAUGCGCUAGUCUUGAAAACUAGUGGGAGCAAUCCCUAACAGGUUCGACCCCUGUACUCUCCG
This 82-nucleotide transfer RNA is filed under the name Pseudomonadota bacterium. Its description in RNAcentral is "tRNA-Ser". It matches the Rfam family "tRNA". From Rfam's summary of the family: Transfer RNA (tRNA) molecules are approximately 80 nucleotides in length. Their secondary structure includes four short double-helical elements and three loops (D, anti-codon, and T loops). The record is from RNAcentral. Lineage: Bacteria; Pseudomonadati; Pseudomonadota.